Molecule: long non-coding RNA, 1930 nt
Filed under: Gossypium barbadense (sea-island cotton)
Lineage: Eukaryota; Viridiplantae; Streptophyta; Magnoliopsida; Malvales; Malvaceae
Description: long non-coding RNA (GBAR_LNC020408)
Source: RNAcentral
CUCGACAUAUCAUUUCUAAUUAACUCAUAAAACUAAUCAAGUCAUUCCAAUUUGAUACCAAUGCCAUAAAGGACUUUUACCAUUUUAUUAAUAUAAUCAUCAAAACACAUAAUAUCUUACUUUACAACAGAACUAUAUAACAUACCAAAAUGACUAUUAUAAUUCUUAUGUACAUACCACUUUCAUUUAAGGAAGAAACAUCACCGUAAUCUCUAUGCAGGAGUCGGGAUUGACAUGGAUGCUGAACCGAGACUCAGAACCCUUUUUCAACCUGCGCACGGAAAUAAUCGUACGCUGAGUAUUUUAUACUCAGUGGUAUUACCAUAAUUCAAAUUAUAAUAGCAAUAAAGAAUUAUAAUUACGAAGCAUAUAACUAUCCGAUUUCUUAAAUAUCAACUAAUUCAUAAACUUUCAUUAUUUAACAAUAACAAUAAAAUUUUUAACUAUUCCUCAAUCUCACUCACAUAUCACAUGUAACAAUUUCAAUCACUACAUAAACAUUUGAUUCAUGCCUUUUAUUUUCAAUAUCAAUUUUCAAUCUGCAAAUUUUAAAUUUUCUCAUAUUCAAUACCACAAUUGAUCAAAUUCAUUUGAUUUUCUCAUUUCAAUUAUUCACCCUAUUAACAAUCUGGACUUUGACGGAUACACGGAUUCCAACCCACACACACCAGUACGGCACAUUGUGCCCAAAACGGUACAUAGUACCUGAUCAGUAUACGACACAUAAGUGCCAGAAACGACACACGUGGUGCCUGAUACGACACAAAGUGCCUGAGAUACGACACAUAAAGUGCCUGAUGUACGACACAUAAAGUGCCUGAUCAGCAAAGCCGAUAAAUCCCGUACUCUUCCAAAUCCUAUGGCAGGCCAACUAUAUCCGACUUUGCCCGACUAGUUAAUAGGGUAUUUAAAUCAUUUUUCUAUUUCAAAAUCAAGAUCACUUUUCCACUUUCUAGUCAAUUAACAAUUUAAUACCAAUACAUAUUUCAAAUAAUCACAUAUAAUCAUAUUUCAAUUAAAUUCAAACCACUUUAUUUAAUUCAUAUUUUAAAUUCAUUUUUCAGCCAAAUUCAAAUCACUAAUACUUUUUAAUCGAUAUACAUUUCAAAUACUCACAUAUUUCCAUCAUUCAAUUUAAUUUGAUUCAAUUCAAGUCACUAUUAUCAUUCCAAUUGCUUACCUAAUUUUACUUACCAUGCAUUUUAAUUAAAAUAUAACAAUUAAUAAUAAAUAAAUUUUAAUUAUAGUAAUACAAACCCGAAUUUGCUCUAUUAUUCCUCAAUAACCUUCUCUUUUCCUUUGUGUGCCGAUGCCUCGAGUUCCUUGUUAGCUACGAAAAUAAUAAUAAUUUACACUAUUAAUUACAACAUUAAUUUAUAAUAAUAAAAAUAAUAAAAAUAAUAAAAUUUCUAUCUAAUUUAUACUUUAAUUCUAAUUUAAUCCUAACUAAAUUUAUUUACUUUUCUAAUUUAAUUCACACUCUAUUUCUAUUCAAAUUUAUUCUAAACUCAAGUUUAUCUACUAAUUUUUCAGCAUUUUUCACUAAUUUCGAAUUUUCCUCAAUUUAAUCCCUAAAAUUCAAAACUUGUAGCUUAGUUUACAAGUCAAUCCUUUAUUCAAUUCCAAAUAAAAUUUCUAUCAAAUAAAUUCUCAAUUCCAUCAUUUAUUCAACAUAAACCCUACACAAAAAAUCUAUUAACUUUCAAAUUUUCAACUUAAAUCCAAGAGUAUCUCACUCUAGGAUUCCAAAAACAUCAAAAUUAUGAGAAAAGGACUUGAUUUAGCUUACCUAUUAAAGAUCAAGCUUCAAAAUCUCAGUUUUCCCCCUUUCUUUUCUUUCCCUUUUUCUUCCCCUGUUUUCGUCUCUUUCUCUGUUUCUUUUCUGUUCUUCUCUUGUUUCUUUGUCUUUUUAUUUUACUUACUUUACUUU